Long non-coding RNA from Nicotiana tabacum (common tobacco), 2384 nucleotides. RefSeq lists it as uncharacterized. NCBI's taxonomy places the organism in Eukaryota, Viridiplantae, Streptophyta, Magnoliopsida, Solanales, Solanaceae. The record is from RefSeq and is a predicted model, not a curated record.
ACAAGUUAAUAAAGAAGAAGGGUUAAUUGACAAAUAAAUUGUUUUGAGAGGUAAAUUUACGAACUCUUCAAAAGUGCAAGGGCUUUUUCUGCACUAUAUUAAAGCUCCACUCUUCUCCCAUGUCAAGCCCGGAGAACCCUAGUUUUCACUUGGCCGCCGCACCCCUUUACUGCUAUUAGCAUAGUAAUACUGGGUUGCUAACUUGCUAUGUUGAGUGUUUGAUUGUCUGUUAAGGCUGCUAAAAUGUUCUCGUGUUAUCAUAUAUAAAUUUUUCUGUGCAAAUUUAAGCCAAAUCUGGUUGUGCUAGCCACAAACUUUUUUAUCAUUUCUUAAGAUUUGUUGAACUCCAAAUUGCGUUGAUAUAUCGAAUAUUUUGAUCCUUUUUGUAAAAGUUGGAGUGUUUUUUUAAAAUAUAUGUAAUACAUUUUUCAGGAACUUGCUUUCUUUAUUUUUCAGCAUUUUACAUGGUUGUGGGUUGCAGAGGUUUUUGUGUGAAACACGGGAGGCGAGUAUACAUGCUCUUUUGAUGGAAUCAAUUAUCAAAUAAGGGCAACAGCAGUUUGAUAUUUAAUGAACGCUUUAUGUUUCAAAUAAAACCUUCUGCGAUCCAUAACCAUGUUAAUUUUGGGACUAGAAUUUUCUUGUCCUCAAGUGUUGUAGAAUAAGAAAGCAAGGUUUCAGAUGUUUGUAUAAUAUUUGCAGCGUAGUUGAAGUAUAAGAUCCAUGCAUUGUUCGGAUUAACUACGAUGUAUCAAGCUUACACUUUUUCACGCUGCAUCUUGUUAUUUUUAUUGUUAUUGUGGUUAGCUUCUUGAUCAUGGACAAAACAUUAGAGUAUCAAAGAAAAGUCACAACAUGCCGUUGUCUUUGAUGCAAAAAUUGUGUGCUCUCACAUUUAAAUUAAGGUAUUAGGUAUUCGACCAAUAAUUAUUUUGGAACAAUCUUCCUUUUGUAUGGUUGUGGUUGUUGAAGGACUCAUGUGAACAAGGAGUUGAAGUGCAAAAUAACAAGGAAAGUGUUAGAAGCUACUUGGUGUACCUAUAGAAACCAUCAUCCAAGAGAAAAAAAUACAAGGAGCCAUGUUGCAAUCUUUCGCAUGUCGAAGAAGACACUUUUGUUUCUCAUAAUUCCUUCAGCCAUCCACAACCAUAUCAAUUGUGAGAUUUUAAUGUUCUUACUUAUCAUGUGUUGCAAAAUAAACAAAGUAUGACCUCAAGCUAUUUUUCAAUGCCUAUAGCUUAGUUUGAGCCUGUCUUUUCAUAUCACUUAUAGUACAUAAUUUAAAAUUUCUCCCACCUUGUUUUUCAACUAAAAACUCUUCCCACCUUAUACUUGAUUUAUUUCUUUUUUGUGUUUUUGCAAGUGACUCAACUACUAAAACAACCGAAAAUGGUGGGUUUCAUAUCGUUUUUUGCAAUUAUCUCCAAUUUCUUGUGCUACAGUUCCCAAUGCCUGUCUUUAUAAAAAUUAAACUCAGAGGCACCAUAUUCCUUGAGAAGAGAUAUUUAUUACCGUAUUUGCCAAUAUCCUUGUUGUUUGGUUUGAAUACAUGUUAUGCUGGGAUUAGUUAUGUUGGGAUUAUUUAUACUGAGAUUAGUAACCAAACAAAGAAUGAGUCGGUACUAAAUUUUUAUUCCAGGAUUAUUUUUGCUUAUCCAUCAUACCAAGUUGUGGUAUUUUUCAUUUUGAAAUGAUCUGUUGUGGUCAUAAUAUGCAUCAAUGCUCUAAAAGAUAACCAACUAUUCUUGUGAUGGUUAUUGCUUACAUGGAAACCAAGACUAUAUUAUCAAUACUUGGAGAAUCAAGAUUCCCUACAAGGUAGCUUGUUUCACUUGGCUACUAGCAAAGGAGGCUGUUUUAACCCAAGAUAAUCUCAUAAAGAGAGGGAUCUCAUUGUGCUCAAGAUGCUGAGACAAUUAGCCAUCUAUUUUUACAUUACAAGAUAACGGACCAACUAUGGAAAAUCUUUCUUAGUCUCAGGGGUAUUUCAUGGACAAUGCUUGCCUAUACAAUUAUUGAAGUUCUUUUCAGUUGGGAUGAAGCUGGAGCUAAAAUAACAAACAGAGAUAGAUGGAGGACUGUCCCAGCAUGUAUCUGGUGGACAGUCUGGAAAGAGAGGAAUUCUAGAUUUUUGUAGGACAGAAGCAACUCAGUGCAGAAGAUCAAGCUUAGUUGUGUUCCACUCUUUUGUUUUUGGUGUAAACAGAUUUACACAGAAGAUAUUGUGUCAAUCUUAGAUAUUCUAGGGUCUUGCUAACAUACCAGUUUUCUUAUUUGUACUUACCUGUAAAUAUGGUUUUCAGUAUAACCAAUGUACUGAUUUUAUUAAUAUAUACAAAUGUUAUCAGUUAAAAAAAAAUAAAAAUACUAGGAGAUUCUGGAUU